Molecule: ribosomal RNA, 498 nt
Filed under: uncultured bacterium
Lineage: Bacteria
Description: partial 16S ribosomal RNA
Rfam family: Bacterial small subunit ribosomal RNA
Source: RNAcentral
AUUGAACGCUGGCGGCAUGCCUUACACAUGCAAGUCGAACGGUAACAGGUCUUCGGAUGCUGACGAGUGGCGAACGGGUGAGUAAUACAUCGGAACGUGCCUAGUAGUGGGGGAUAACUACUCGAAAGAGUGGCUAAUACCGCAUGAGAUCUACGGAUGAAAGCGGGGGAUCGCAAGACCUUGUGCUACUAGAGCGGCCGAUGGCAGAUUAGGUAGUUGGUGGGAUAAAAGCUUACCAAGCCGACGAUCUGUAGCUGGUCUGAGAGGACGAUCAGCCACACUGGGACUGAGACACGGCCCAGACUCCUACGGGAGGCAGCAGUGGGGAAUUUUGGACAAUGGGCGAAAGCCUGAUCCAGCAAUGCCGCGUGCAGGAUGAAGGCCUUCGGGUUGUAAACUGCUUUUGUGCGGAACGAAAAGCCCCGGGUUAAUACCCUGGGGUCAUGACGGUACCGUAAGAAUAAGCACCGGCUAACUACGUGCCAGCAGCCGCCGUAA